AUUGAACGCUGGCGGCAGGCCUAACACAUGCAAGUCGAGCGGAUGAGGGGAGCUUGCUCCUGGAUUCAGCGGCGGACGGGUGAGUAAUGCCUAGGAAUCUGCCUGGUAGUGGGGGAUAACGUCCGGAAACGGGCGCUAAUACCGCAUACGUCCUGAGGGAGAAAGUGGGGGAUCUUCGGACCUCACGCUAUCAGAUGAGCCUAGGUCGGAUUAGCUAGUUGGUGGGGUAAAGGCCUACCAAGGCGACGAUCCGUAACUGGUCUGAGAGGAUGAUCAGUCACACUGGAACUGAGACACGGUCCAGACUCCUACGGGAGGCAGCAGUGGGGAAUAUUGGACAAAGGGCGAAAGCCUGAUCCAGCCAUGCCGCGUGUGUGAAGAAGGUCUUCGGAUUGUAAAGCACUUUAAGUUGGGAGGAAGGGCAGUAAGUUAAUACCUUGCUGUUUUGACGUUACCAACAGAAUAAGCACCGGCUAACUUCGUG
Molecule: ribosomal RNA, 484 nt
Filed under: uncultured bacterium
Lineage: Bacteria
Description: partial 16S ribosomal RNA
Rfam family: Bacterial small subunit ribosomal RNA
Source: RNAcentral